Molecule: transfer RNA, 68 nt
Filed under: Micrura ignea
Lineage: Eukaryota; Metazoa; Nemertea; Pilidiophora; Heteronemertea; Lineidae
Description: tRNA-Ser
Source: RNAcentral
GGUCGCUCGGUCAAGGGGCUUUUUUGUUUUGAAAGCAGAGGGGAAGCGUUCGAUUCGCUUGGUGGCCU